UGCACUUAGGUUUGGAAUUAGGUUUUCCUCCAGUGUAACUGCACUCAGCCUUAGAUUCAUUGAACCCAAUGCCUGAUUUGUCUCCUGUUAUUUGACCAGUCUGGAAAAUCUUGUCUAAGGUGUCAGAUCCAUUAUUUAGCAUUCUUACAUACUUGGUCAUCUCAUCCAGUUUAGAAUUCAAGAGUACAGCUUCUGUCUUCAACUUGGAGAUCAUUUCCACAUGUCCUGCCUUCU
RNAcentral lists this long non-coding RNA (234 nucleotides) under Lathyrus oleraceus (garden pea). Its description in RNAcentral is "Pisum sativum (pea) long non-coding RNA (PSAT_LNC038497)". The record is from RNAcentral. Lineage: Eukaryota; Viridiplantae; Streptophyta; Magnoliopsida; Fabales; Fabaceae.